AUAAUUUUAUUGAAUUUAACAUUAAUCUAUAUCUACUUCAUUUUUAGGUUGGAUGAUGUGUCUAUAGUCACAUAAUCUGUCUUCUCUCUCAAGAUCUCAGAAGACUCGUAUCACUUACACCAGAGGAAAAUUCAUGAAGGAAAUUAAGUGAAGAAUGGCACACUUCAAUCUCGAUUCAGACUCCAUCAGUUUCUCCUUGGCAGUAAGAUCAAUCCAGAAUUACAGAAUUAGAGGAAAUGGACAAUCCAGCUUCCCUUACCACUUGUGGAACAAAGACAUAGAAAGAAGAAUAAACUGAAUUCUGUCUAAGAUUUCCAAAGAACAAUUAUAGGACAUCUAAGUCAUCACGUGGCUGCAACACCAAAAAAGUCAAGACAGAAGAGAAGAACAGGGUAUGUAAGCCAAAGUCACCACAAGCCAAACCAGACCUGGAAAGACAAGAAGAAUCAUCAU
This 453-nucleotide long non-coding RNA is filed under the name Monodelphis domestica (gray short-tailed opossum). RNAcentral's name for it is "lncRNA (ENSMODG00000046958.1)". The record is from RNAcentral. Lineage: Eukaryota; Metazoa; Chordata; Mammalia; Didelphimorphia; Didelphidae.